UGGGGAAUAUUGCACAAUGGGCGCAAGCCUGAUGCAGCGACGCCGCGUGAGGGAUGACGGCCUUCGGGUUGUAAACCUCUUUCAGCAGGGACGAAGCGCAAGUGACGGUACCUGCAGAAGAAGCACCGGCCAACUACGUGCCAGCAGCCGCGGUAAUACGUAGGGUGCGAGCGUUGUCCGGAAUUACUGGGCGUAAAGAGCUCGUAGGCGGUUUGUCGCGUCGUCUGUGAAAUUCUGCAGCUUAACUGCAGGCGUGCAGGCGAUACGGGCAGACUUGAGUACUACAGGGGAGACUGGAAUUCCUGGUGUAGCGGUGAAAUGCGCAGAUAUCAGGAGGAACACCGGUGGCGAAGGCGGGUCUCUGGGUAGUAACUGACGCUGAGGAGCGAAAGCGUGGGUAGCGAACAGGAUUAGAUACCCUGGUAGUCCACGCCGUAAACGGUGGGUACUAGGUGUGGGUUCCAUUUCACGGGAUCCGUGCCGUAGCUAACGCAUUAAGUACCCGCCUGGGGAGUACGGCCGCAAGGC
Molecule: ribosomal RNA, 528 nt
Filed under: uncultured bacterium
Lineage: Bacteria
Description: partial 16S ribosomal RNA
Rfam family: Bacterial small subunit ribosomal RNA
Source: RNAcentral